UAGCUCUUUAACAAUUUGGAAAGCUGACAAAGUAACUUAUCUUCAUUGAUGGGUUACUUGUAAAGUUCUCAAUCUUUAUCUUUUGAUAAAGACCAAAAAUACACAUUCAAGUGUGCUUGGUGAAAAACAUCUUCGGAUGCUUUUCAAAAUUGAGUCCGGCAAAAUCUGUCUCGCACUCAUGUAAAUUAAACGCGAGACAACUCGGUCGCUUGUUUGUUUUCACUCUCGUGAAAGCAAGAAGCCAAAGACCCUUUGGGGUUGUAU
RNAcentral lists this unclassified non-coding RNA (264 nucleotides) under Vibrio metschnikovii. RNAcentral describes it as "partial miscellaneous RNA". The record is from RNAcentral. Lineage: Bacteria; Pseudomonadati; Pseudomonadota; Gammaproteobacteria; Vibrionales; Vibrionaceae.